UAGGGAAUAUUGGUAAUGUGCGAAAGCGCGAACCAGCAACGCCGCGUGCACGAUGAAGGCCUUCGGGUUGUAAAGUGCUUUUUAGAGGGAUGAGGAAGGACAGUACUUCUAGAAUAAGCCUCGGCUAACUACGUGCCAGCAGCCGCGGUAAAACGUAGGAGGCUAGCGUUAUCCGGAUUUACUGGGCGUAAAGCGCGUGCAGGUGGUUUCGUAAGUUGGAUGUGAAAGCUCCUAGCUUAACUGGGAGAGGUCGUUCAAGACUGCGGGACUAGAGAGUGGUAGAGGAAGGUGGAAUUCCGGGUGUAGUGGUGAAAUGCGUAGAUAUCCGGAGGAACACCAGUGGCGAAAGCGGCCUUCUGGACCAUUUCUGACACUCAGACGCGAAAGCUAAGGUAGCAAACG
This 402-nucleotide ribosomal RNA is filed under the name uncultured prokaryote. RNAcentral describes it as "bacterial SSU rRNA". It matches the Rfam family "Bacterial small subunit ribosomal RNA", at positions 355 to 774 of the family's 1533-position model. The record is from RNAcentral.